This 288-nucleotide ribosomal RNA is filed under the name uncultured bacterium. RNAcentral's name for it is "partial 16S ribosomal RNA". It matches the Rfam family "Bacterial small subunit ribosomal RNA", at positions 28 to 311 of the family's 1533-position model. The record is from RNAcentral.
GAUGAACGCUAGCGGCAGGCUUAAUACAUGCAAGUCGGAGGGGCAGCGAGGGGUAGCAAUACUCGCUGGCGACCGGCAAACGGGUGCGGAACACGUACAGAACCUUCCUUUAAGUGGGGGAUAGCCCAGAGAAAUUUGGAUUAAUACCCCGUAACAUUAUUUAGUGGCAUCACUUAGUAAUUAUAGAUUUAUCGCUUAGAGAUGGCUGUGCGGCUGAUUAGGUAGUUGGUGUGGGUAACGGCCCACAAGCCUUCGAUCAGUAACUGGUGUGAGAGCACGACCAGUCAC